Molecule: long non-coding RNA, 2303 nt
Filed under: Mytilus galloprovincialis (Mediterranean mussel)
Lineage: Eukaryota; Metazoa; Mollusca; Bivalvia; Mytilida; Mytilidae
Source: RNAcentral
UGCUGGUAUAGUUAGUUCAUUAGACUUAUGUAGGUUAUAUUUGUAUUUUAACAGGACCAGAAUAUCUUCAUAUUAUAUUAAUCUGGUGAUGUUUCCAAACAGGAGAUAGACCUUUGUACCAUAUACAUGGUAAGAUCAGUGGGUUCAUUCUCAUUUAUCCAACUUUUUAAAAAUAUAGGUAGUACAGGUAAAAAAAAAGUUGGAUAGAUGAGAUCAAAGGUAAUCAAGAACAAAGGGUUUUCCAAUUAGAGUUUGGUUGAAUGACAGGUGAAAAAUAAGACUGAAAAUUAUACCAGGAUUAAAUUUUCUGUAGUAUUAUUUAGCAUAGCAUGUUAAAAUGUGCAACUGACAUUUAGUUAAUGUAAUGUAAAUCAUUUGAAAGUAUUUUAAGAGUUAUUUAACCGUUAACUAAAAUGUGAAUUGGAUAGAAAAAUAUCAGUUGCACUUUUAUUCAUGAAGGAAUUUGUCAAUGAGAUGGAGCUUUUUUUGUGUAUUAGAUCCUCUUCGUUCAUUUUUUUCGGUUCUUCUGUCCAAAUGAUCCAAAUAGGACAAAAUAUAAGUUGAAUACGUUUUACUACACAAAGACUGAACAGAACAAAGUUCACAAAACAUAUAUGCAUCAUAUAUCAUAUAUAUAUAAAAAAAAAGCAAAAGCAAUUCUCUGAUAAGUGUGACAGGAAUAGCUUGGCUUUGAUAUCAGCAUGUGAUGGUGGAUGGUUGUGGUCUCUUGGAAAUCUGGUAACUAGAUUAUCUGUGGUGUUGACAGUGCCAGGGCAGUCCAUUUCUGUACAUUUCCAGUAUACAAGUUCUCCAUCUCUUCCCUGUUUUCUGGUCUUAACACAAUAGCUGUAGCCUGCAACUGCUAGGUAGUGACCUCUGGCAUGAGGAAUUAGUUGUACUCUUACUUGUGCGUUUGCCAUUUGUGCAAUAAUAAAAUUUCGGAUUAAAUGGCUAUAUAUAUACUAACCAUGAGCUUAACUAAGAAAUAUUCUUUAUAAGAAUAGAGUUCAUUCAUUCAUUCAUUCAUUCAUUCAUUCAUGUUUUGGAAAGAUUGCUGAGUACUGUUACAUAGUUUUAAUUUUUAACACUUGAAGAUAUGGGAUUAGGUUGUGAAAAAUGUUUAGAUUUUUGCAUUGAUGAGCAAAUAUGCUGAACACGAACAAUGAUUAAUUUGGUAAUCACUUUGAAUCAGCACCACAAAUAAAAGUUAACAGGUCUAAAAAAAAGUAAAACACAUCAUAUUUACUCAAUAAAUUGUUAAUAUAAAAUUAUUAUUGAUUUGUGGGUUUCUUCUGUAUAAAAGAUGAAACAUUUAUUUAUUAUUCAAAGUAUACUGAAUUUUAUAUGAAAUAUACUAAAUUUUAUUCAAAAUAUACUAAAUUUUAUUCAAAAUAUACUAAAUUUUAUUCAAAAUAUACUAAAUUUUAUUCAAAAUAUACUAAAUUGUAUUCUAAAAUAAAAUGUAACAAGUUUACUAUAGCCUCUUUUAUGUAUAUAUUUUUAAAACAAUAUACUAAAUUUUAUUCAAAAUAUACUAAAUUUUAUUCUAAAAUAAAAUGUAACAAGUUUACUAUAGCCUCUUUUAUGUAUAUAUUUUUAAAAUAAUAUAAAAACGGUAACCAUAAAAACAUACAGGAACAAAUUUACUGUCAAAUUUUAGAAAAACACCUUAUAAUUACUAAACAAACAACUAAAAAUAAAAGUUGGCUAAAUGAGAAUGCCUUAUUUUAAAAAGUUGGAUAAAUGAGAAGACACCGAAAAAAUGUUUCAUGUAUUUUUAGUUUAGUGUAUUGUCUGUGUUUGUCUAUUUAAUUUUAGAUCAGUAUAUGUAUUGUUUGUGUCUUGUGAAUAGUAGUUACCUGUAUGUCAAUUAUUACAUGUAUACAUUAUAGUAAGAAAUAGUUCAUUCAUAAAUCUAUGAAUGAGUAGCGUAACAUAAUUGGACAUAAUGUAGCACUUAAUCCUGACUUGGUUGAUAAUUGAGUUUGAUUGAAUUCAUAUAUUUAUAAUAUAUACACUUAAAUCGUAUUGGUUGUAUUCUUACAGAAAAGAGUUAGUUUAUCGUAUUUUAUACAUGUACUUUCCGUUUUAUGAUUUAGAGUUGUAUCCCUUUGUACACUGUACUGUCUAUGUAUUUACGUUUUGUUAUUUGUGUACUUUCAGGGUUAAUUUAUUUAUGUCGUAUGAAUAAAACAUCUUAAACUUGACGAUUCAUUUCAUUCUGUCCAAGAACCCUAUUACAUUCAUAUCAUUAGAGUCUUUUAUUCUGUAAGAAAGUAAUUCAACUAAUAAAACAAACAAUA